CGGGGCGUAGCUCAGCUUGGUAGAGCGCCAGUUUUGGGAACUGGAAGUCGCACGUUCGAAUCGUGUCGCCCCGACCA
This 77-nucleotide transfer RNA is filed under the name Deltaproteobacteria bacterium. RNAcentral's name for it is "tRNA-Pro". It matches the Rfam family "tRNA". From Rfam's summary of the family: Transfer RNA (tRNA) molecules are approximately 80 nucleotides in length. Their secondary structure includes four short double-helical elements and three loops (D, anti-codon, and T loops). Lineage: Bacteria; Pseudomonadati; Myxococcota; Myxococcia. RNAcentral also lists the same sequence under 2 other names. The record is from RNAcentral.